This 183-nucleotide long non-coding RNA is filed under the name Mustela putorius furo (domestic ferret). RNAcentral describes it as "lncRNA (ENSMPUG00000026618.1)". Lineage: Eukaryota; Metazoa; Chordata; Mammalia; Carnivora; Mustelidae. The record is from RNAcentral.
AGUGGGCUUUGGGGGAAGCCAUCAGAAGCUUUGAAUUGCAAAUUGGAGAAGAGGGAAAAGGGACCACCAGACUGCUUUCCCCGGGUUAUGAGUCUCAAUUUUCACAUCUAGAAUAUGGGGUACACAAGACACCACCUCAUAGGAUUGUGGGAAAGUCAAGGAGAAAAGUAUUACAGCUUCAUG